RNAcentral lists this ribosomal RNA (301 nucleotides) under uncultured bacterium. RNAcentral describes it as "partial 16S ribosomal RNA". It matches the Rfam family "Bacterial small subunit ribosomal RNA", at positions 509 to 808 of the family's 1533-position model. The record is from RNAcentral.
CAGCAGCCACGGGAACACGUAGGGGGCAAGCGUUAUCCGGAAUAACUGGGCGUAAAGGGUGCGCAGGUGGUUUAACAAGUUAGUGGUGAAAGGCAUAGGCUCAACCAAUGUAAGCCAUUAAAGCUGUUUAACUUGAGUGCAGGAGAGGAAAGUGGAAUUCCUAGUGUAGCGGUGAAAUGCGUAGAUAUUAGGAGGAAUACCAGUGGCGAAGGCGACUUUCUGGGCUGCAACUGACACUGAGGCACGAAAGCGUGGGGAGCAAACAGGAUUAGAUACCCCGGUAGUCCCUGUCUCUUAUACA